UCCCUGGAGGACUAGUGAUUAGUCCACAGCGCUCUCACUGCCAUGGCCCGGGUUCGAUUCCCAGCCAUGGAA
Pangasianodon gigas (Mekong giant catfish) is the source of this 72-nucleotide non-coding RNA. NCBI's taxonomy places the organism in Eukaryota, Metazoa, Chordata, Actinopteri, Siluriformes, Pangasiidae. The record is from the annotation of a GenBank genome assembly.